This 471-nucleotide ribosomal RNA is filed under the name uncultured bacterium. Its description in RNAcentral is "partial 16S ribosomal RNA". It matches the Rfam family "Bacterial small subunit ribosomal RNA", at positions 30 to 506 of the family's 1533-position model. The record is from RNAcentral.
AUUGAACGCUGGCGGCAGGCCUAACACAUGCAAGUCGAGCGGGGACUUCGGUCCUAGCGGCGAACGGGUGAGUAAUGCUUGGGAAUCUGCCCAGUAGUGGGGGAUAACGUCCCGAAAGGGACGCUAAUACCGCAUACGUCCUACGGGAGAAAGAGGGGGAUCUUCGGACCUCUCGCUAUUGGAUGAGCCCAAGUCGGAUUAGCUAGUUGGUAGGGUAAUGGCCUACCAAGGCGACGAUCCGUAGCUGGUCUGAGAGGAUGAUCAGCCACACUGGAACUGAGACACGGUCCAGACUCCUACGGGAGGCAGCAGUGGGGAAUAUUGGACAAUGGGCGAAAGCCUGAUCCAGCCAUGCCGCGUGUGUGAAGAAGGCCUUCGGGUUGUAAAGCACUUUAAGCGGGGAGGAAGGUUCGCGGCCUAAUACGUCGCGGAAUGGACGUGACCCGCAGAAUAAGCACCGGCGAACUCUGU